AUGGCCGCCUCCGGCAAGCGUUCCUUGGCCGCCGUCGUUCUCUCGGCGAUCGCCUCCUGCGCGGCCGCGCAGACGCCAGGAGGCCCGGGAUCGCACAACAACUCGAUGAGCCUCUCCGACGUCAUGGCCAUCUUGUUCUUCAUGGCCUUCUUCUUCCCCGUCUUCGUCGUCCUCCUCGCGUUCGCCUGCCUCCGCCUGUUCCGUCCGCCGGACGAGCCCCCGGCCGGCGACGACUCGUCGUCGGACCGGUCGCUCCACAAGGAGGGCCUGAACGCCGCGGAGAUCGCGGCGCUGCCGCUGGUGUCGUAUCGCGACGUCAGGCAGCACCGGAUCGGCGCCAGCGGGAUCGACUCGCUGGAGUGCGCGGUCUGCCUCCUCGAGUUCGGCGACGACGACAGCCUCCGCCUCCUGCCGGCGUGCCCGCACGCGUUCCACCCGGAGUGCAUCGGCCUCUGGCUCGCGAAGCACGUCACGUGCCCGCUCUGCCGCGCCAGCGUCCUCGACCCGCCGGUCCUUGACCCCGAGGAGCUGCUGCAGCCUCCGUCGCCAGAGGAGGAAACGCCGGUGCCGCACGAUUCGCCGCGCCGGCUCGCGGAUCACGAUACGGUGGUGGUGCUAAUCGAGGACCCCGGCCGCGACGAGGAGGAGGAUGAGAGGACAAGGAUCCUUGCGAGGAGGAUGCGGUGCGAGGCCGCCGGGCGUCCGGCGCUGCCGCGGUCGAACUCGACGGGGCACGAGCGCGCCGGCGGGACGGAGCACUUCGCGCUGCGGCUGCCGGAGCACGUCCGGCUCGAGAUCCUGAUGUCGCACAGGCUGAGGCACGUGACGAGCGCGGUCGCGUCCGUGCGCGUUAGGGAAGGGAGCGCCCAUGACCCAAGCGCCGGCGGGAAUUCGGUGCGGAGCGCCGUGGCGAGGCUGCUCUCGCUUUUCGCGCCCGGGGACGGGCGGAAGGGAGACGACGAGGAGAAGUCCGGGGGGUCGUCUCGCCGGCGGCGCGAUGACUCUGCGCGGGGAGCAGGAGAAGACAAGCUGAGAAACGAUUGA
This 1044-nucleotide ribosomal RNA is filed under the name Triticum aestivum (bread wheat). RNAcentral's name for it is "partial small subunit ribosomal RNA". The record is from RNAcentral. Lineage: Eukaryota; Viridiplantae; Streptophyta; Magnoliopsida; Poales; Poaceae.